Molecule: ribosomal RNA, 253 nt
Filed under: uncultured bacterium
Lineage: Bacteria
Description: partial 16S ribosomal RNA
Rfam family: Bacterial small subunit ribosomal RNA
Source: RNAcentral
UACGUAGGGUCCGAGCGUUGUCCGGAAUUAUUGGGCGUAAAGGGCUCGUAGGCGGUUUGUCGCGUCGGGAGUGAAAACUCAGGGCUCAACCCUGAGCGUGCUUCCGAUACGGGCAGACUAGAGGUAUGCAGGGGAGAACGGAAUUCCUGGUGUAGCGGUGAAAUGCGCAGAUAUCAGGAGGAACACCGGUGGCGAAGGCGGGUCUCUGGGCAACAACUGACGCUGAGGAGCGAAAGCGUGGGGAGCGAACAGG